This 253-nucleotide ribosomal RNA is filed under the name uncultured bacterium. RNAcentral describes it as "partial 16S ribosomal RNA". It matches the Rfam family "Bacterial small subunit ribosomal RNA", at positions 524 to 776 of the family's 1533-position model. The record is from RNAcentral.
UACGAAGGGAGCUAGCGUUGUUCGGAAUCACUGGGCGUAAAGCGCACGUAGGCGGAUUUGCCAGUCAGGGGUGAAAUCCCGGGGCUCAACCUCGGAACUGCCUUUGAUACAGCAAGUCUUGAGUUCGAGAGAGGUGAGUGGAAUUCCUAGUGUAGAGGUGAAAUUCGUAGAUAUUAGGAAGAACACCGGUGGCGAAGGCGGCCCACUGGCUCGACACUGACGCUGAGGUGCGAAAGCGUGGGGAGCAAACGGG